This 1337-nucleotide long non-coding RNA is filed under the name Scophthalmus maximus (turbot). RNAcentral describes it as "lncRNA (ENSSMAG00000024460.1)". The record is from RNAcentral. Lineage: Eukaryota; Metazoa; Chordata; Actinopteri; Pleuronectiformes; Scophthalmidae.
GCCCAUACGUGGGGAGUAUGUGUGUUUCAGAAAAAUUCACCAAAGCCAGGACUACAAAGGGAAGGAGGAGUGCUAGCCAGCGUGCAGAAAGUGGGUGCUCAUACUAAACACACGUGUCAUUGUUGUUUAAACAAACUGCUGCUACAUCUGCUGGAGGCUGAUAAAGAUGAUACCCUCACACCCUACCCCUGCCCCAACGCCCCCUCCAGGGGCAUGUUCUGUAGGCGGGUCCAGCGACACAUAUUGUCAAAUCAAAUGGAGCCACACGGCCACUUAAUCCCAACCCUUUUAAUAAUGAGUAGGUUGGUUAUGAAAGUAUGAUUUGCCAGUAUGACAGCGAUGCUUCAGUACUCCUACCUUUGUGUCGUCUUUUUAUUUUUAAUGUAGUGUGUCUAUAAAACAGCAAACUGUUUUGCUGUUUGCACAAAAGGAAGCAAAUUGUUUUUUUCAGUGUAGAGUGGAUGAUUCAUUAUUAUUCACUUUAUAUAAUAGCAAAUCCACAUUAGCCAUACAGGUUAUUUAUCUUCCCUCUGCUGUUUGAGAGAACAGAUUAAAUGUUGAGUCCCUUUAUUGACUGUGGAUGUAGAACACAUCCAGGAAAGGGUCAUCAGGCUGAACAUUCACAUAAGAUGUACAUAGAAAGCCACCAAACAAAACACACAAAGGAACAACAAUAAUUGUGUUCAUCUUUGAUUCCAAGUAAGUGAAAAAUUUAAAUGUAAAAAAAAAUAAAUCUAAAUAAAUCUGCACAAACAUCAAAUAGUUCAGUAGACGCUAUUCCAUUGAUGCUGAGGCACUUCCCUCCCUCUCUCCCUCUCUCUCUCUGCACAAUGUUGUACACAGACUGAUUUCAUUUAUUGGAAAAUGACAACUUCCAGUGGUGAAGUAACUAUAUCUGCUCUUCUAUCAAUAGCUUGGUCUCAGACCAACCUCAAAGGUCACGACUUGACUCCACAAUGUCUUGGCCCCAGUAGGCCUUAAGUCUUAGCUUUAGACGAGACCACCAGGAAACUGUAUAGUGAGCCCCAUCGCUGAUCAAUGCCUUUCAGUGUGCCACCACCCUGCGCAGAAACCACAUGUGGGCGUCCAACUGCCUGCCCCCAAUCCAUAUCUCUCCGUUUCUGUAUUUACAGCAAAUGAAACAUUCAGACGGAAAGACGGCUGAUAUCGAUUAACUUGUGGGUUCACUAUUUUGAGUGACAUUUCAUAAAUAGAGCCGCCUCGUGAAAUAGUAAUGAGCCGAUGGCGAUUAGCAUUCAACCUUAAUAUGGCAUGAUUGAUUAGAUAUUCAGAUUUCACUUGGCCAAGGUUAAAUAUUGAAGCCAAGCAUAUAAAAA